AAAUUGAAGAGUUUGAUCAUGGCUCAGAUUGAACGCUGGCGGCAGGCCUAACACAUGCAAGUCGAACGGUAACAGGAAGCAGCUUGCUGCUUUGCUGACGAGUGGCGGACGGGUGAGUAAUGUCUGGGAAACUGCCUGAUGGAGGGGGAUAACUACUGGAAACGGUGGCUAAUACCGCAUAACGUCGCAAGACCAAAGAGGGGGACCUUCGGGCCUCUUGCCAUCAGAUGUGCCCAGAUGGGAUUAGCUAGUUGGUGAGGUAACGGCUCACCAAGGCGACGAUCCCUAGCUGGUCUGAGAGGAUGACCAGCCACACUGGAACUGAGACACGGUCCAGACUCCUACGGGAGGCAGCAGUGGGGAAUAUUGCACAAUGGGCGCAAGCCUGAUGCAGCCAUGCCGCGUGUAUGAAGAAGGCCUUCGGGUUGUAAAGUACUUUCAGCGGGGAGGAAGGUGUUGUGGUUAAUAACCGCAGCAAUUGACGUUACCCGCAGAAGAAGCACCGGCUAACUCCGUGCCAGCAGCCGCGGUAAUACGGAGGGUGCAAGCGUUAAUCGGAAUUACUGGGCGUAAAGCGCACGCAGGCGGUCUGUCAAGUCGGAUGUGAAAUCCCCGGGCUCAACCUGGGAACUGCAUUCGAAACUGGCAGGCUUGAGUCUUGUAGAGGGGGGUAGAAUUCCAGGUGUAGCGGUGAAAUGCGUAGAGAUCUGGAGGAAUACCGGUGGCGAAGGCGGCCCCCUGGACAAAGACUGACGCUCAGGUGCGAAAGCGUGGGGAGCAAACAGGAUUAGAUACCCUGGUAGUCCACGCCGUAAACGAUGUCUACUUGGAGGUUGUGCCCUUGAGGCGUGGCUUCCGGAGCUAACGCGUUAAGUAGACCGCCUGGGGAGUACGGCCGCAAGGAUAAAACUCAAAUGAAUUGACGGGGGCCCGCACAAGCGGUGGAGCAUGUGGUUUAAUUCGAUGCAACGCGAAGAACCUUACCUGGUCUUGACAUCCACGGAAGUUUUCAGAGAUGAGAAUGUGCCUUCGGGAACCGUGAGACAGGUGCUGCAUGGCUGUCGUCAGCUCGUGUUGUGAAAUGUUGGGUUAAGUCCCGCAACGAGCGCAACCCUUAUCCUUUGUUGCCAGCGAUUAGGUCGGGAACUCAAAGGAGACUGCCAGUGAUAAACUGGAGGAAGGUGGGGAUGACGUCAGGUCAUCAUGGCCCUUACGACCAGGGCUACACACGUGCUACAAUGGCGCAUACAAAGAGAAGCGACCUCGCGAGAGCAAGCGGACCUCAUAAAGUGCGUCGUAGUCCGGAUUGGAGUCUGCAACUCGACUCCAUGAAGUCGGAAUCGCUAGUAAUCGUGGAUCAGAAUGCCACGGUGAAUACGUUCCCGGGCCUUGUACACACCGCCCGUCACACCAUGGGAGUGGGUUGCAAAAGAAGUAGGUAGCUUAACCUUCGGGAGGGCGCUUACCACUUUGUGAUUCAUGACUGGGGUGAAGUCGUAACAAGGUAACCGUAGGGGAACCUGCGGUUGGAUCACCUCCUUACCUUAAAGAA
Molecule: ribosomal RNA, 1552 nt
Filed under: Salmonella enterica subsp. enterica serovar Bareilly str. CFSAN000752
Lineage: Bacteria; Pseudomonadati; Pseudomonadota; Gammaproteobacteria; Enterobacterales; Enterobacteriaceae
Description: bacterial SSU rRNA
Rfam family: Bacterial small subunit ribosomal RNA
Source: RNAcentral